This 381-nucleotide transfer-messenger RNA is filed under the name Cyanobacteria bacterium J083. It matches the Rfam family "transfer-messenger RNA". Rfam says of the family: Bacterial tmRNA, also known as 10Sa RNA or SsrA, is named for its dual tRNA and mRNA-like properties. Its role is to liberate the mRNA from a stalled ribosome. Lineage: Bacteria; Bacillati; Cyanobacteriota. The record is from RNAcentral.
GGGGCCGCAACGGUUUCGACAGGUUGGCGAAAACUUGUCCGUGAUACAGGUCGAGAGUGAAUCGCCUCUCGUAAAUAAACGGUUCAAAACAAUGUAACUGCGAACAACGUAGUAAAAUUCGAGCGUCAGGCGGUAUUCGCCUAAGUCUAAACUAGACUUGCUCCCUCCUAAUCUGACUCCGUUAAGGAUUAGGAUGCAACCCCAACGGAUGCGCUAGUUAUCUUCUUCUGGUGAGAUAAUUAGCUAAGACUUAACCAGAAAUCCCUCCAUCAGGGAAAAGUGAUGGCUCCCGUCCUGAGGAUGAGAAGGACUAUCACCUGUGAAGGAGCGGAGAGUAAAUACCCAGCCUGGACAGCAGUUCAACUCUGCUCGGCUCCAUUU